GUCGCUGUCUCUGUGGUUCAAAAGGGCCUCAGAGAGAGAGGAAAGUCCGGGCUCCUUCGGAAAGGAUGCCGGUUAACAACCGGGCAUGGUGCUGGUGACGGUGCCAUGACAGCCAGCGCAACAGAAAACAAACCGCCUUGGUUUCCAAGGUAAGGGUGAAAAGGUGGGGUAAGAGCCCACCGGGCAGACGGUAACGGAUGUCGCAUGGCAAGCCUCAUCUGGAGCAAGGCCAAGCAGUAGUUGCAAUUCCGAUAUGAAGGGGUUCCUUCACAACUACGGGUAGGCUGCUGGAGAUACGGGGAAAUCCGUAUCCUAGAUAGAUGACCAUGCCUGGUGCAGUGAGUCUGUCAUCAGGCGACAGAACCCGGCUUAUAGUAUUU
This 380-nucleotide RNase P RNA is filed under the name uncultured Treponema sp. RNAcentral's name for it is "Bacterial RNase P class A". It matches the Rfam family "Bacterial RNase P class A". Rfam says of the family: Ribonuclease P (RNase P) is a ubiquitous endoribonuclease, found in archaea, bacteria and eukarya as well as chloroplasts and mitochondria. Lineage: Bacteria; Pseudomonadati; Spirochaetota; Spirochaetia; Treponematales; Treponemataceae. The record is from RNAcentral.